RNAcentral lists this ribosomal RNA (201 nucleotides) under uncultured Aeromonas sp. RNAcentral describes it as "partial 16S ribosomal RNA". It matches the Rfam family "Bacterial small subunit ribosomal RNA", at positions 372 to 565 of the family's 1533-position model. Lineage: Bacteria; Pseudomonadati; Pseudomonadota; Gammaproteobacteria; Aeromonadales; Aeromonadaceae. The record is from RNAcentral.
UGGGGGAAACCCUGAUGCAGCCAUGCCGCGUGUGUGAAGAAGGCCUUCGGGUUGUAAAGCACUUUCAUCGAGGAGGAAAGGUUGGCGCCUAAUACAUGUCAACUGUGACGUUACUCGCACAAAAAGCACCGGCUAACUCCGUGCCAGCACCCGCGGUAAUACGGAGGGUGCAAGCGUUAAUCGGAAUUACUGGGCGUAAAG